GUGGGGAAUAUUGCGCAAUGGGCGAAAGCCUGACGCAGCAACGCCGCGUGAGGGAUGACGGCCUUCGGGUUGUAAACCUCUUUCGAGCAGGGACGAUAAUGACGGUACCUGCAGAAGAAGCUCCGGCCAACUACGUGCCAGCAGCCGCGGUAAUACGUAGGGAGCGAGCGUUGUCCGGAUUCAUUGGGCGUAAAGAGCUCGUAGGCGGCUUGAUAAGUCGGAUGUGAAACCUCCAGGCUCAACCUGGAGUCGCCAUCCGAUACUGUCAUGGCUAGAGUCCGGUAGGGGCCCACGGAAUUCCUGGUGUAGCGGUGAAAUGCGCAGAUAUCAGGAGGAACACCGGUGGCGAAGGCGGUGGGCUGGGCCGGCACUGACGCUGAGGAGCGAAAGCGUGGGGAGCGAACAGGAUUAGAUACCCUAGUAGUCC
Molecule: ribosomal RNA, 427 nt
Filed under: uncultured bacterium
Lineage: Bacteria
Description: bacterial SSU rRNA
Rfam family: Bacterial small subunit ribosomal RNA
Source: RNAcentral